CGACCGGCGCACGGGUGAGUAACACGUAUGCAACCUGGCCGUGACAGAUGGAUAACCGGGAGAAAUCCCGCCUAAUACAGCAUGACGCCGGGAAGGGACAUCCCUUUCCGGCCAAAGGGGGCGACUCCGGUCACGGAUGGGCAUGCGGCGCAUUAGGUAGUUGGUGGGGCAACGGCCCACCGUGGCGACGAUGCGUAGGGGUUCUGAGAGGAAGGUCCCCCACACUGGUACUGAGACACGGACCAGACUCCUACGGAAGGCAGCAG
This 266-nucleotide ribosomal RNA is filed under the name uncultured bacterium. RNAcentral describes it as "partial 16S ribosomal RNA". It matches the Rfam family "Bacterial small subunit ribosomal RNA", at positions 92 to 354 of the family's 1533-position model. The record is from RNAcentral.